Molecule: non-coding RNA, 152 nt
Filed under: Stygamoeba regulata
Lineage: Eukaryota; Discosea; Stygamoebida
Source: RNAcentral
GAGUUCCGCGCUCUGCCGAUGGUCGAGGCGCGCUCAGUGAUCCGAGAGCUGCUGAUGCACAUCGGUGCACGCAGCAUGCCUCCGGCCAGCAAGUCAAUGCGCUCCGUGGUUGAAGACCUCCGCGAGAACUACAAGGAGUUUAGUCCGCGCAC